This 128-nucleotide non-coding RNA is filed under the name Castor canadensis (American beaver). Lineage: Eukaryota; Metazoa; Chordata; Mammalia; Rodentia; Castoridae. The record is from RNAcentral.
GUCUUGUAUGAAAGGAGAGAAGGUUAGCACUCCCCUCUUGACAAGGAUGGAAGAGGCCCUCAGGCCUGACAACACACGUAUGGUUAAGGUAUUGCCACCUACUUCAUGGCAUCUAACCACUGUUUUUC